AACACGAACUAUGACCAAUAACCAGGUAGAAAUAUAAUAGUUUGAAGGUGAUCUAUAUAAAUAGAUUUUACGAAAACACUUCAUAAAACGGAAAUUUUAUAUUAAACUUCCUACAUAUAAACCUUAAAAUCUAGGGUAAACACAGCUUAGACGUCUUGGGUAUGUACAUACAAACUGCUAUCUGAACACUACAUUUUACUAAAUAUAUAAAUCUAUAAUACAAGCCAGUUGGAUGGAUUGAACUGCAAAUAUAAAAAGAUAUGGUAUGAUUGCCAAUGACAUAACUCUCCACAAGAGACCCAAAUCACACAGAAAUCACAGCAGGUCACCACAGGGCCUUCAAUAAUGAGCAAAACACAUACAGAAGAGUCAGCUUAUGACCCCAAAUGACAAAUGUUUAACAAUUCCAACGAGAAAAUCAACUGCCUAAUUCAGGUUUACUUAGUUUACCCCAAUAUUUUCACUUGAAAAUGUCUGUUAUCAGUCAGAUCUAGUAAGUAUCUAGUAUUCCAGAAUUACAUGUAUCGUACAAGUAAUUAUCGUCUUUGUCAAUGUUAUAGACAAUAGAAAAGGAACUGUAAAAUUUCUUAAAUACCCCAAGAUUAUAAGUCUUUGAUACUUUUUUGUUUUGGUUGGGUUUUUUUUUUGUGUUGUUUUUUAGGGGUAAAAUUUUGUCGAAUUUUGAAAAAGGGAUAGUUGAAGAAUACUGAAAGAAAUCUACUUGAGCAAUACAAUUAAAAAAACAGAGAUAUCUAAGUAGUAUUUUACAUGAAGUAAUAUUUACAAUCAUUGGCAUUGUUUAGACGCAAAAUGUCUACCCCUGCCAAAGUACCAGAUGUCCAAAAUGGCCCAAACCAUCGUAUGCCAACUUCGCCCGACCCUUUAUUUCUAUUUGAACGUAGCUUGGACCCUUUUGUUUAGUGUAGCAAACGGUUUGGGGUUUAUAAUUCGCCACUAUACGAUUCGAAGGCUGCAAUGUUGAUUUCUGAGUGGACAGUUGAUAAAUGUAAACUGGCAUCGCUUAAUUUAAAGAGCUUACGACAUAAACAAAUACGUCGAACUACAUGCGGGUCUGAUUGGUGGUUGUAUGCCUGACGACAAGUGACAAAUAUUACAUGCAUUUUAGACAAAAUUAAAUUAAAGAUAUUUGAUGCCCCACUCGCACUAUCAUUUUCUAUGUUCAGUGGACCGUGAAAUUGGGAUAAAAACUUCAAUUUGGCAUUAAAAUUAGAAAGAUCAUAUCAUAGCAAACAUGUGUACUAAGUUUCAAGUUGAUUGGACUUCAACUUUAUCAAAACUACCUUGACCAAAACCUUUAACCUGUCCACUCGCACUAUCAUUUUCUAUGUUCAGUGGACUAUGACAUUGGGUUAAAAAGUCUUAUUUAGCAUAAAAAUUAGAAAGAUACCAUAGGCAACAUGUGAACAAAGUUAAGUUGAUUGGAAUUUCAACCUCAUAAAAACAAUCUUGACAAAAAAACUUUAACCAAAAGCGGGAGAGAUGGACGGACGGACAGACAAACGAACGAACGAACAAACAAACGGACCCACAGACCGAAAAACAUAAUGCCCCAAGAUGGGGCAUUAAGAAUGAGAGUAAAUAAGUCAGAAACGUUAAAGCCCCAGUCACACUGUCACGUUUCAAGAGCGACGUUUUACUACGUUUUGAAAGCGUAUUUAGCGAAACGGGAAUAUAUACGUAAUGAAGCCUAACGAAACGUAGUGAUCCCUUGUUCAAAACGGGACAUGACCCGUAUGUUUUGAAAAUUCAACAACAAACGUAACGAAAAUUGAAACGAAGUAGAAACCUAGAAAACACGUAUCAAAGCUUAGCGGAACGUAACACAACGUGCUUACUUACGUAUCGAAACGUAUCAAUGCGCGGUGGAAACGUGGGUCUACACGUACUAAUACGUAGCAAAAAGUGAUAAGAACGUAGCACAAACCUAAUAAAACCUAGCUUUCAAAACAACGGGACAUUUUUAUUCAAAACGUAGUUGAAACGUAGCAUUUUAAAACGUAGUUAAACGUGACAGUGUGACUGGGGCUUAACUGAACUUCAAUUUUUACGUAGAGUAAGAUUCGUCCGGUUCUGACAUGACAAAAUGUAAAAAAUUCAAACCAAAAUACGGCCUGAAUUACGCUAAAAACUGCCAACCCUAAAACAAAUAUCACAGAUAACAAACAAAAACCAUUGAAUUACAGGCAUAUUCAGAAUGCGGAUGGCUUAAAUUCAUUUGAAAGCCCAAACCGUCCCCAGGUGUUGUCUUUUUUUUUAUUAUUAAAGAGGGACUCAUAAUCAGCUCCACAUUGAAACAAAGUGUUUUUCUAUGAAAAACCCUGAUUUGGGAAUAUUUCUAUUCAUGCAACUUUUCCGCGCAUAUCUAAUAAAAAAUUUGAAUGAAACUGUUCGUUAAAAAUUCUAUUAUCAUUAAUUAAACCUAGAAAAAGGUACUAAUAGAAAAAUACCUGAGAUAACCUUGACUACCUUACAAAGGUUUUUAAACAGAUUCGGAUAUAUAACAGUUUAAAAUUUCAACUUAAAUAACUUUGUUGGUGAAGUUUCUCCGAGGUGAUUUAACUAACCACGUUAGAACUUCAUGUCUAUGCCAAAAUAAUCAUUUAACUGUUUAUGAAACAUUGACUUUUCGGAAAUACUCAUGUUGUUCUACCCCAGGAGUUGACUGCCUUAGCUGUAUUUGACAAAACAUUAUUGAAUUUUAAGACCUCUAUUAUCUUCUUCUUCGUGAUUUAUUUGGCGUUUUACCUUUUUUUUUUAUUCAAGCAUUAUUAUUAUUAAAAAGAAAAUAGUAUGUCAAAUUCACGCACAGUUUUCACUUUUUGCUUGAAUUAUGUUUUUUUUUUCUUCAAACGUUUCCCUUGUCUGCUAACAAAUAUUCUUUAAUGAUAUAAAUUUGGAACAACGAGUCUUUAAAAUUACGAAUUCCACGUAUGUUAUACCGCGCGCAGUCCCACUAGGCCACGAUCGCACUACGAUCUGUGACAAAAAUGCAAAUUUUGAUGAUCGUACACCACCACCACCACCACGCCCACGUGUUCUAGAAGAUUUUGGUGGCAUGACUGUAUUGUUUCCGAGAAAUCUAUGUAUUAAUCAGAAAUAGAAGGAAUGGAAUUAUAAUGAUAUGAAACACGAUAAUGACGUUAUAACUGAUAACUGUACAGUAAGAUCGCGGUAUGAACGUAGUAUAAUCGUGGUACGAACGUCCUAUAAUCGCAGUAAAAGCUUGGUAAGAUCUUGUUGCAAUCGGAUAACUCUUGGUAUGGUCGUAGUGAGAACGUGAUGAGCGUAGAAAGAUCUUGAUAAGCGUAGAGAGGUCGCAGAAUAAGCGUGGUGAGAACGUGUUCCUGUACUCGUAGCGGGACCGUUGUAGAAGCGUAAUGAGGACGUAGUAGCAUCAUGAAAGCAACGAAAAUUUACAUUUUCAUGCGCUCAUACCGCGACCUCACCACGAUCGGAAUUUAUUUUAGAUCGCGGUGAGCGUAGUACGCUAGUGGUCUGGUGGGACUGGGGCUUUAGGAUAGACAAGUCAAAUGUUGGAACCUUCUUCAUAAUAUACUAAGGAAUACAUUGUAUUUCUGUUUAUAUAUAAUUAAUAAUUCUCCAUCUAUUUUAAUGUAAAUUAAAAAAUAAAUGGUAAGGCAGUUGCAUUACUUCUGCCUCAGUGGAAGUUACUCUCUUGUGUGUGGGUUCGCUCAAUACUUAUAAUACCGCAGUCCCACUAUGCCACGAUCGCACUACGACCUGUGAAAAAAUUUUGACAAUCGUAGUGCGAUCGUGUAGAUCGCAGUAAGGUCAAAAUACGGUCGUGGUGAGGUCUUCAAGAUCGUGAUGAGCGUGGCCAACUUUGAACAUGUUAAACAAAAUCGUGGUGCGGUCGUGGCGAAUAUCAGGUCGUAGUAGAAGCGUAGUGGUAAGAUCGCAAAGGUCGCUGUACCUUCGUAGCGAGAGCAUAGCAAAAAGCGUGAUUCUAUUCGGAGAGACUCCAGCCCAGUCCCACUAGACCACGAUCGCAACACGCUCACUGCGAUCUAAAAUAAAUUCAGAUCGUGGUGAGGUCACAGUAUGAGCGGCAUGAAAAUGUAAAUUUUCGUUGCUUUCACGAUGCUUCCUACGUCCUUAUUACGCUUCUACAAAGAUCCCGCUACGAUUAUACACGUUCUCACCGCGCUUAUUCUGCGACGUCACGACGCUUAUCGAGACCUUUUUACGCUCAUUACGUACUCACUACGACCAUACCGUGAGUUAACAGAUUGCAACACGAUCUUACCACGCUUCUACUGAGAUUAUAGCACGUUCUUACCACGAUUAUACUACGUUCAUACCACGAUCUUACGACGCUCUCAGUAAUAACGUCCAACAUCGUGUUCCAUAUCAAUACAGUUUCGUUUCUUCUAUUUCUGAUUAAUACGUAGAUUUCUCGGAACAAUACAGUCAUUCCACCACAAUCUACUAGAACACGUGGGUGUGGUGGUAGGGGUUGAUGUAGAUCCAGAGGGAGCUCUGAUAGUAACGAAUCCUGAACAAACAGAGAUGUUGGACCGACCAUCCAACCUAAAUUACAACCUAUUGCUGUCCUAAAGCUCAAAUGCGGUAUAUAUAAAAUUUAGUCCUGGUAUCUAUGAUUAGUUUAUUUACUAUCACUGGGUCGAUGCCACUGCUGGUGGAGAUUUAUUUCCCCGAGGGUAUCACAAGCCCAGUAGUCAGCACUAUGAAUUAUCAUUGAUAUUGUUAUAUUUAUAUAUUAACUGUUUAAAAAGUUUUGAAUUUUUUUAAUACUAAGGCUUUUUACCUCGGAUAGAUUACCUUAGCUGUAUUUUGGAAAACUUUUAGAAUAUUGGUCCAAUGCUCUUAAACUUCGUACUUUUUUUGCCUUUUUAACUUUUUGAUUCGAGCGUCACUGAAGAGUCUUUUGUAGACGAAAGCACGUCUGGCGAAUAUAAAUUUAGUCUGGUAUCUAUGAUGAGUUUAUUUACACCACUGGGUCGAUGCCACUGCUGGUGGAGAUUUAUUUCCCCAGGGUAUCACAAGCCCAGUAGUCAGCCUGUUUUGCUGACAUGAAUUAUCAUUGAUAUUGUUAUAUUUAAAAAAUGAACUGCUUACAAAAUUUUGAAUUUUUUGAAAUACUCAGGCUUUUCUACCUCAGGCAUAGAUUCCUUAGCGUAUUUUGAAAAUUUAGGAAUUUUGGUCCUCAAUGCUCUUAAUUCGUAAUUUAUUUGGCUUUUACUUUUUUGAUUCGAGCGUCACUGAAGUCUUUGUAGACGAAAAGCACGUCUUGGUAUAUAAAAAUUUAGUCCUGUAUCUAUGAUGAGUUUAUUUACUACCACUGGGUCGAUGCGCGGUGGAGAUUAUUCUAUCACAAGCCCAGUAGUCAGCACUGUUUGUGCUGACAUGAAUUAUCAUUGAUAUUGUUAUAUUUAUAAAUGAACUGCUUAUAAAAUUUUGAAUUUUUUUAAAUACUCAGGCUUUUCUACCUCAGGCAUAGAUUACCUUAGCUGUAUUUGGGAAAACUUUUAGGAAUUGUCUCAAUUUACUUUUUUGCCUUUUUACUUUUUGGAUUCGAGCGUCACUGAGAGUCUUUGUAGACGAAAAAGCACGUCUGGCGUAUAUAUAAAAAUUAGUCCUGGUACUAUGAUGAGUUUAUUUACUACCACUGGGUCGAUGCACUGCUGUGGAGAUUUAUUUCCCCGAGGGUAUCACAAGCCCAGUAGUCAGCACUGUUUGUGCUGACAUGAAUUAUCAUUGAUAUUGUUAUAUUUAUAAAUGAACUGCUUACAAAAUUUUGAAUUUUUUGAAAUACUCAGGCUUUUCUACCUCAGGCAUAGAUUACCUUAGCUGUAUUUGGGAAAACUUUUAGGAAUUUUGGUCCUCAAUGCUCUUAAACUUCGUACUUUAUUUGCCUUUUUACUUUUUUGGAUUCGAGCGUCACUGUGGAGUCUUUUGUAGACGAAACGCACGUCUGGCGUAUAUAUAAAUUUAGUCCUGGUAUCUAUGAUGAGUUUAUUUAGUGAACGAUAGCAGAAAUGACACACAUGUGUCAAUAGAUAUAGGAAGAUGUGGUAUGAGUGCCAUCAGACAACUCUCCAUCCAAGUAACAAUUUAUAAAAGUAAACCAUUAUAGGCCAAUGUAUAGCCUUCAACAUGGAUCAUUGGCUCAUAACGAACAGCAAACUAUUAUAAAGGGCCCCACAAAUUGCUAGUUUAAAACCAUUCAAACGGGAAAACCAACGGUCUAAAUUAAAUCUAUAUAAAAACGAGAAGCAUGGUUGAGCCGUUUGAGAAAAUGGACAAGAAGUUCUAAUAACAUACAGACAAACAAAACCUGGAGAUAUUUGAUAUCCACGUAUUGUAUGUGAAAAUUACAAUGCGAAUGAUGGUCGUAGUAUGAACGUAGUUAGGUCGUAAGAAGAGCAUGACGAGGACGACAAGGGCGUGCUAGAAUCGUACUAUGGUUGUGAUCAGCGUUGUAUAGUCAUAGUGGAAGCGUAGUUGGGUCGCGGGUGGCCUAGUGGGACUGCGGUAUUCGCUACGAUCUCAAUGCGACGUUCCUACGACCUCACUACGACCAUCACGUUCUCAUCACGACCCAUCUAGGCUUCCACCACGACUAUACCACAUUUACACCACGCUGUUCAAGACCAUAGUUCGAUUCUAGCACACCAAUGCCGUCCUCAUCACGCUAUUCUUACCACCUGACUACGCUCAUACUACGACCAUCGCGCUCAUUGUCAUUUUCACAUGAAAUAUAUAAAAGCUCUCCAGGUUUUGUUUGUAUGUAUGUAAUUUGGACCUCUUGUCCCUUUUCUCCAACGACUCAACCAUGCUUGACACAUCUGUAUCAUCCCUGCUAUCGUUCACUAAAACAUCGUCAUUUGGUUUGUCCGACAUCUCUGCUAGAUCAGGAUUCGUUACUAUCAGAGCGCCCUCUGCCUCUACAUAAACUCCUACCACCACGCCCACGUGUUCUGGUAGAUUUUGGUGGCAUGACUGUGUUGUUUCCGAGAAAUCUACGUAUUAAUCAGAAAUAUAAGGAAUGGAACAGUAUUUAUAUGGAACACGAUAUUGACGUUAAAUUGCAGAGAACGUUGUAAGAUCGCGGUAUGAACGUAGUAUAAUCGUGGUAAGGACGUGCUAUAAUCGCAGUAGAAGCGUGGUAAGAUCGUGAUGCAGUCGGAUAACUCAUGGUAUGGUCGUAGUGAGAACGUGAUGAGCGUAGUAAGAUCAUGAUAGUCAUAGAGAGCGUGGUGAGAACGUGGUAUAAUCGUAUCGGGGUCGUUGUAGAAGCGUAAUAAGGACGUAGUAUUUUCGUGAAAUCAACGAAAAUUUACAUUUUCAUGUCGCUCAUACCACGACCUCACCACGAUCUUUAAUUAUUUCUGAUCGAGGUGAGCGUGGUGCGAUCGUGGUAACCACACUCAAUUAAAUCAAAAGAUACAAAUCUACCAUUGUUUUUAGUUUACUUUUUCACAUAAGCAUAGCAUUAUGCAUUGUACGUGCUAAUAAUUUUAUACAAUUUCAUUUUCAGAUAUUCCUCAUUAGUCAUUGCAAUGUCAGCUAGUAAGUAUAUUAUAAUCAAUAUCGUUAUAUAAUAUGUACUUGCUAUAUCCCAUGUUACGCAAGCAUUUUUUUAAAGUAAAAAUAGAAGUUAACCUUUGUAGAAGAAUAUUAUAUUUAAAAAUGUCUAUGGUGAAAAUUGUUGAAUUUUACCAACCUGCUGGAAUAAAAGAAAACACAUGCUAACCGACACAGAUACUAUCGAAACGGAAAAAAAUAGUAACUUUCCUAAUAAUAAUGUUAAGAAAAUUUUGAAAUCGUAUUGAUGGACAGUGAAUUCGAUUCCAGUUUAUAAAUCUCUUAUAACAAAACAUACAUGUAGAAGUUUUUCUUUUUAUCAGUACAUUUGUUGGAUAAGGAAAUGUUUUUUUUUCUCAAUUAUUGUUUUGUUUAUUUGUUGUUUGUUUGUCUACACUACUGAUGAUGUUUAUAUUGUUUGCUACUUUCCUUUAGGUCAAAGCAACCCACACUAUAUAGCAGCUGCAAAGGCCAAUAUCCCAAACCCAAGUGGUAAGUCUUAACCAGAUGCUCCGCAGUGCGCAACUUUAUACGACCGCAUAGGUUGAACCCUGAACGGUUGGGGCAAGUAUGGACACAACAUUCAAGCUGGAUUCAGCUCUAAAUAGUUGACACAGUAUAGGUUUCUGACACAGAAUGAAUGUGGUCUAAUGAACUUAAAAAUUUUUUUUUUGCCUUUGAGCAAUUCACUAUGCUGUUGAAUAUUAAUCCUCUCAAAAACAUGUUUGAAGAAAUUUUCUUUUUAUUUAUGAAAUCUGAAAUGAGAAAAAUUUACCCCCCCCCCCAAUUUUUUUUUUCACAUCCCCCUUUCCCUUAUUCCAAAACUGAUCUCAAUUCAAAUUUCUUAUGGAGUUUGCAACAAUAACUACUCAUUUAAAUGCAUCAUAAAAUAUUAAAAUGUAAAAAAGUGCUUGUUAUCAAUGAAUGGUAAAGAUUGUUUUAAUUUAUCAGUUGGUAGUAAAAGUGAAUAUACAUUGUAUAUUGUAUAAAACAAUGAUUUAUGUUGAUCCAACUACUAUUCUGGACAAAGAAAGAUAACUCCAAUUGAAAAUUUCUUCCUAUUGCGCAAUAUUGUGCAAUUAGAUAUUUCUUGCUAUUGCGCAAUACUGUGCAAUUGAAAAUACUUGCUAUUGCACAAUACUGUGCAAUUGAAGAUUUCUUGCUAUUGCGCAAUACUGUGCAAUUGAAAAUUUCUUGCUAUUGCACAAUACUGUGCAAUUGAAGAUUUCUUGCUAUUGCUGAAUACUGUGCAAUUAAAAAUUUCUUGCUAUUUUACAAUACUUAAUAUAAUAAUUUUGGAUCCUGAUUUGGACCAACUUGAAAACUGGGCCCAUAAUCAAAAAUCUUAAGUUCAUGUUUAGAUUCAGCAUAUCAAAGAACCUUAAUUUUGGACCCUUUGGACUCCUUAUUCCUAAGCUGUUGGGACCAAAACUCCCAAAAUCAAUCCCAAACUUCCUUUUAUGGUCAUAAACGUUGUGUUUAAAUUUCAUAGAUUUCUAUUUACUAUUACUAAAGUUAUGGUGCGAAAACCAAGAAAAAAUUCUUAUUUGGGCCCCUUUUUGGCCCCUAAUUCCUAAACUGUUGGGAUCUCAACUCCAAAAUCAAUCCCAACCUUCCUUUGUGGUCAUAAACCUUGUGUCAAAAUUUCAUAGAUUUCUAUUUACUUAAACUAAAGUUAUAGUGCGAAACCAAGAAAAAAUGCUUAUUUGGGCCCUUUUUGGCCCCUAAUUCCUAAACUGUUGGGACCAAAACUCCCAAAAUCAAUCCCAACCUUUCUUUUUUGGUCAUAAACCUUGUGUUAAAAUUUCAUAGAUUUCUAUUUACUUAUACUAAAGUUAUAGUGCGAAAACCAAAUGUCUUUGGACGACGACGACGACGACGACGCCAACGUGAUACCAAUAUACAUGUAUGACCAACAAAUUUUCAAUUUUUGCGGUCGUAUAAAAAAACAAUAGCUUUUAAUUUAGUACAAAUUUACAUUAUCUCAUUAUCUAUCUAUACUAUUAAACGAGAAGACCUCAUUUUGUGUGUCGCUUCUUAACAUUGAAGUGAAAAGAAUCUGUCAUUUUAAAUGACUGUCUACUUAGAGUAAAUAUGUUUAAUUAUACUGUCUUCUGACAUCCCCUUUUUAAAUGUCAGAUCUUUCAGGGAUCUCAUUAUCCUUUCGGGGCAUCUAUGAUCAACCCCAGUUUUUGGUUGGGUUCUUGUUGUCUAAUCUGGUUUUUCUACGAAGUGUUUUGUCGACAGUUGUGUCACUUUUUCAGAGUGAUUGCGUCAAUCCUGUUCCAAUCGAAAUUAAUAGCUCAUUCUACUGCUCAACUGCUACACCAAUGUCUCAGGUUAGAGGAGGGUUGAGCGCUAAUACCCAUGUUUAAUCUCGAAAUAUUGUUUAAGUGCCUGUCCCUAGUUAAGAGCCUAUUUUUCGAGUAGCAAUCUUUGGUUGCUGUCUAUAUGUAUAUCUCAUUAGUUUUUCGAAUGUUGUAAUUUGCAUAAAUCCGGUUUCAUGUAGAUAAUUGCAUCAUUGGUAAGCAUACCAGGUACAUCUCCUUAUUUCGUAACUACCUUGACAGAUUAUAAAAUGACACUUAUAAUGCUGAUAUAUUUCAUUAGAUAUUUCAGCAAUCAUAAGAAAUUUUUAAAAGUAUAUAUACUUAAUAUAUCUUAAAAACUUGAAUCAAUAUGAAAAUAGUUUUAUUUACGUAGUAUAUGGACUUUAUGCGGAAUCUGCUAGAUCGAAAUCAGUACAAAUAUUGCGUAUUGCUUAAAUGACCAUCAUCGGCUAUAUGUCAAUGGCAAAAGCCAAAGACCAAAUUCGAACAAAAUUCAAAUUGAACAGAAUCCCCAAUGAUUCAUUUGUCUGCGAAUUUAUCCGAGUGACAAAGACCUGUAUAAAGUACGCAAACAAAUCUAAGUACAGACACAUAUUGAUGGGUCAAUUAACUGUUGAUUGCUUAACAUUCCCUGGCAAAUAUUUCAUGUUUAGGUGGAGAACAAAUUAGCAGUAAAUACAAUUGGUAGGUCCUGUAAUAGAUGUCAUGCAAGAUUUAUGUCGAAGAAACUUUAUCGCCGCUGUAUAUUUGAUUGAGAAAAUAAUUUGAUCUCGCAACAGACCACCUAUGGACCCUUAAAGUAUGGUUGCAAGCCUUCAUAACAUGCAGAGAGCGAUUAUUCUCUUUGUAUGAGGCAUCAAUUGAAAAUUCCCAUUCUGACUGCAUGAACGUGGCUGCGUACUUGUACAUCCUGCACAACCUAACAAACUCCCAACUUUGGAGAAAGUACAAUAUUUCUGGUCGGAAGAAGAUAAAAGUGACCGUAAAGCUAUUCCCCAGUCACCAUAUGGGGCCACAUAUUGACGCAGGAGGCUUUAACCUUACUGUGCUAGAUUAAUCUAUCCAACCUGAUAAGUUAUAACUAAAAGGAAAUCCCUAUUAUUUCUAUCUUUCCAUUCUCAAGACGCAGUCCGCCAGAUGAUAUGAAAUGUCAGAUUAAGAUAAAUUUUCACAUGUACCUUAACUUAAAGUUGUUGAUUUUUUGACAAUAUUCGUUGAAAUUGGUAUCGUAUAACACAUCAGAUAAUUCAGGGGCGUAGCUUACGUUGAGGAAACCGAGGCAAAGUAACCGAGGCAAAGUAACCGAGGCAACUUUGCCUCGGUGAAAAAAAUAUUUUUCCUUCACUGUAUUUUCUUUUAAAUAGUUAUUGCAGCAAACUGGCUACUAAAUAAUAAUGUAGCAACUUGUUAUGUCUUGUUGGCGCGGUUAUUGAUUCAUACCCUUUACGAAUUCUUCAAGACUUAUGGGAACAUUUGAAUUAAUUUUCCCUCCUCUACUUGGAAAUACCCUUUACGGUAGUUUUCUGUAAUUCAAGUUUGGCAGAGUAAAGGGAAAUCGACAACCGAUUUAUUUUGUCCUACCCCAUUGCAAGCGAAAACAGUGAGUAGAAUAGAUGAGGAUGCAACUCACGAGUCACCCGAUCAAAUCACUUUGCCAUUGAACUAGGUCAAUUAGUUAAUUUUGUGUCAGAAUAAUUUCUAGUAUAUAUGAGGGCCUGUGUGAGGUUUUAAGAAAACAGAAAAAUCGGUCCUGAAAUUAAUUUAAAUUUAAAAUAAUAUGGAUUUAAAAUGAUGCUAAAUUAUAAAAUAAAGGGAAAUCAAAUUAUGGACGACAACGAUUAAAAAAUAAAUAUUUGAUAAUCCCAUUCUAAGCAUUCAAACCCUCAUUUAUAACCGUUGACAUGUUCCCCUACGACUAUGUUCAUUGACAUUCAAUUUGGUACUAAACAAAACAAAAUAUGCAUUUAUGUAUUAUAGUGCACAGAAAAUAAUUUAUAUAUGUUGUGGUUCUCAAGUUUUAUUCUCGCUAUUUUAAAUGUACAUGUAGCAUAUGUUUUUCUCCUAGUUUAAUAUCCCGAAAUUCGUUUGUUCAAUCCAGCUGUCAUUUUGUGGUGAUUAUCUAUAAUUCGUUGAUUCGUGACCUACGACCAAAUAAAUGAUCAUCACAAAACUUAUUACAAAUAAACCUUAAUAAUUUGCGUUUGUUUUUUUUUUCUUUCUGUAUUGAACAUUUUGUACAGGUUUCUUCUAUCCACCGAGCAAGGUCAUGAUUUCUUGUGAUAUGACGUGUGAGGUACAACCAACUAUAUUAGAGUGUACUACUGCUUUGAAAUAUAUUGGGAGCCAUUAGGCAUUUGAGCUUGCUUUCUGCUGGGAACAGUAUGUCAAUUAAUAUAUUUGUUCCGCUUUCUGUAAAACUGCUAGCAAGUCAGGAAACUGACUUUUCAUUGGUUGUCUAAUGCGAUACCAUCACGUAUUUUGUUAUUUCUAUAGCUUUGAGUAUAGAUAGUAAGGCAUAUAAUUAACAUUAUUAUGAUGAAAUAACAUUGAACAGCAACUAUUUUUAACGAUUUGUUCUUGUUCAAUUUUUUUUUGUAAAAACCUCUAUACUUCAAGGGGCUUGCGCCCCUGAAAAUUGUCCCAACUCGAGUCGGUAUAAACAGAAGGCAAGCUACGCCACUGGAUAUUUUAACACAUCCGACUUUAACUCGAAUGAUUCAAGCCCUUACCGUCUCCGAUUCUCUCCACCUUUCGUUAAUGAAGUGAUCGAUAGGGAGCGUAAUAUAACGACUGGCAUUGUUCGGGUUAACGUAAAAAGAAAACUAAUGUGAUUCCAGAGUUAUGGGACUUUGACUGCCAGAUGCAUGUAAAUAAAAUAUUAUUUGUAAACGUCAUUGAGUAGCUAAAUAACUACAAAAUUUUUUUCGUUCCAGAGUUAUUGGACUUUUAACAGUCAGAAUAUAAUACUUGUAGCAUAAGUGUAUCUUUAUGCAUAUUUUUCUACAGAGCCUUUUUAUUUGCGUCUGAUUAAUGCUAUCUAAAAUAUCCCAUUUUAUUUUUGCAACAAUUUCAAUAUGCACAAUAAGGGUGUGCCAUGCGCUAUUGACGCAACUGGUUUUUUUUUCAUAGCGGGAUCAUUAACAUAUAGGUGUUGCAUUAAACUCUUUUGAGAAAAUUCCCAUGCGAUUAAAAUAAAUGUAUGUAAUAUUUUAAACUAUUAUAUUAGCUUAAAUAUCAGUUACUUCCAGCUUAUUUUAUUUUGUUUAGAUCAAUUUUCACCUCAAUAAAUGUUACUAUUUUCUUUAAAGCAUCACUCCACACUGAAAAGUAAAGUAUAGAAACGUCUUUGUUAUGUUGCCACAUAUUGACAGUAAGUGUAUCAUUGGCAAAAGUUUCUGCUAUAUAAUUUAUACUCAAAUAUUUCACUGGAUACCAAAUAAUAUCGCCGUUAAAUUGAUCGAGUUGACCAUUCAUGGAAGCCUCAGUAGCACAGUCUAUACAAGAUUUGAUGUACAUUGAUUGGUUAGCAUGCAUUUUGACAUCCAUAUCACUAUAUCGGGAUUUAAAGGUCCAUUUAAAGCAAUCAGGCGGUGAUGUCGGAAUGGGAGUACUAGUUUUCUUCAAUACUUUGGGCAUUCCUCGAUCUUUCAAAUGUGAAAACAUUUGGUGAAAUUGCGGAGACCACUUCACUGGUCUGUGUGUUUCAUUGUCAACCCUACAAAGUUUUGCCAGCCUUUCUACCAAAAGUUCUCCCGUAUCACUGUGUAUAAGUUUUGUGACUGUGCUGUGUGUACUGGUACCUGGUUCGCACAGUUCUUUUGUUACUGUCAAAUUUAUUGGAUCAAGGUAGUCGAACUGGUAUACUUUUGGGUUGAUAUAAUUUAAAAUCAUUUUUAGCAUGAUGAAUGUCGAUGUUUCACACAUGUUAUUGUCAGUAUCAGAGAUAUUCAUGAAUACUUCUGACUGCCGGGCUUUAAAUUUUGCUCCGUCUAGAAAUAAUGACAAAUUCCAUAUACCCCAUUUGCCUAAAAGAAAUAGAAAUAUGAAGACCCAUAGCAAACGAUUAAAUUCAAAAUAAAUUAAAAUUAGCUGAAAGGACAUUUUUCGUUUUUAGUCAUGACGUUGUCUUCGACUUAUAUUAAUUUGAAUUUCUAAUAGUUUAUAAUAAACGAUUAUAUUUAAAUUAAAUUAAAAUAAGCUGAAAGGACAUUUUUCAUUUGUUUUGUUCGUGUUGUUGUCUCUUUGACAUAUUACCCGUUUUCAUUUUCAAUUUUAAUUGUUAUUCUGUAUUGCAUGCUAUUAACUGUUAAUAUUUUUAACUCUUUUUCGGCUUUGUGUCCUUUUUUCUUAAACAGACAUAUACUGCUUUAAUUUAGUGUUGACCUCUAAAACCAACCUGUUCUGUUAUCAAAGCCGUAUGGUAUGCCUUUUGUUGUUAUUUCUGCGUAGUCAGGUGUAACAUUUGUUAUGGUGUAUAUACCUCUAUCACUCGCCCAUGUCUGAAGAAUACAUGAUUGAAAGUCAAGUAUUUCACAGGUUUAGCAAAAAUUUGCAUUUUACACUUCUGUACCUUUUGGGUUUUUUUUAUUUAUCCCGGCUGUGCAUUUUAAAAAAAACAACAGCCUAAUUUUGUACAAUGUCAUCGUGUUUUUGAAAAUUCGAAAAUAUAAUAAAAUUUAGAAAAAAACACUGUAAAAAAGCUGCAUGUAUCUGCACUUUUAAAGUUGACUGAUCAUCAUAGCUGCCAUUUUGGAUCUCAAAUGAUUGGUAUAAUUACGCCGGUGUACAAGUUUACUUCAAACAAAAACAAGGGAUAUAUAUAAUAAAGGCGCAGAAUGUACAUCAGUGUAAAUCAUUUGUUGUUAAAUUUUAUUUAGAUAUAAUUGUAAUGUGCAUAUAUAACUUUUGAUAUCAGUGAGUAAUGUAGCACGAAAAAAUACAUGUACCUAGGUAACCGCUAUUUUUCUUUUUUCUUUAUUGAAAACUAUCUCUUCAAAAUUUUAUUAUUUUCUAUUUUAUCGUAUUAUUUUCAUUCAGAUCAUGCACAUAUCAAUUUCCUACACAAGAAAGUGUUGAGUUACAUGUAGCAUGCAAGCAGACUCGGUGACAUAGACUUGUUAUCAUAUUUUUAUCAGUGUAAUGUAAACUACAUUUUGGCAAACUAUUUCAUAUAUAUAUAUAUAUAUAAUUUGGUAAUUUGUGCUCAUUCCUUGACCUUUGUUAUGUGCCCUUUUGGUGUUCUAUAAUUUCUUUUGACGCGAACGGCGAGCCAUAGACAACAUCAGAAAAUAGAAACGCUUGCUUAUACACACAUUAUUAUGUGUACUUUUCUGAUUCAUACCAAAGUCACAUUCAAGGUUGUUUGCUGCAUAAAGUAUAAACAUCAUUUACAAAAACUAGUGUCAUGAUAAUGAACUGCGAAUAAAAAUUUUGAUUUUGCCGUAUUGUUCACAGCAAACAUUUACGUAAUGUAAACAUUCCAUGGGAAAUUUCUAAGUAAAUUUACAUACUAGGGUAACGUCAAUAAUUUUAGUGUGAGCAAAUAUACAUUAAUUUUGAUACAUUUCAUUAUUAAACUUACCAAUAGUUUAGUGUUGCUUAAGAUUAGGGUUUUGCUAACAGUAACACAUCGACGAAACAUUUUUUUCUAUUAUCAGUUGGUUUGACCUAAUUUAAAUAUGGAGGGCUAACUUACCAAUAAUUUAGUAAUAACGUUAAAUUGUUAAGUUGACAUACUUAGUACUAUGGUAAGUAUUAGACAAAAAUAUUACUGAUUACUCAGGGAAAACAUCAUAGGUAAUGUAUAUUCAUUACAGAGUCCAACUGCUUUUUUAAAUAGGUACUGUAAUAUACAUUUAAGAUCAUUAAGGUGGUAUAUACCCAACACUUUAACUAAAAUUAAUUUGGCUCGUUUAAUUUUCUUAAAAUUUAGAAAAAAGUAUUAACUUUGACCCUUUGAAAAAAUAUUAAAAUUUAAAAAAAUUUGAACCAACCGUUUUAUCAGAAAAAUUACACUGGUUAUAUAGCAGUUUGACGAACACUUAUUUUUAUCAUUGAGAAGCUUAAUAUUCCCUUAACAACACAACGUAAUCAAAACGUUUAGCUGAUUUUGCAGAGUUAUCUCCCUAUUGUGUUAGGUGCCACCUUAAGAUCAUAUUUUAAAAUAACAUCGCCUACAAUUUUUAUAUGAAUGUAUAUCAGCGACAUACAGAUGGUUUUAUAUGUCUCUGUUUGUAAGAUAUAACUUACAUUGUGUUUUUGUGUAUUAAUAUUAGUAUCUUCUUUCAUAGAGUCGGUAUAUAGCAAACAACAUACAUACGAAUACAUGUAGUGGUGCACAGUAAAAUUGUCAUAUUUAUAAACAAUUGUGUUUUUGAGUUAAAUUCGUAACACAUACAUAUAAUUAUCUUUAUAGACAUUACUGACGUAAUCAUACGGUUCGAGACAAAUGGAGAACCUAACCUCAAGGCUUACGAUGCACAACCUAAAAAUCCUUCCGUUCAUGACACCACAAUAGGUAAUAUAUAUAUAAUAGAAUGUUCGGUUUGUUUUUACAGCUAAAAAGAAUAAAAUGAUGACUAAAGUUUGUAUAUGGAAUGGGUAUAGGUAUAACACCACCGAAUCAUAGUACGGCUCCGGUUGCAUACUAAAAUAGAUAAAAAAAAAAUAUUCCCUUGAAUUUGACAGUUGUAAGUAAUUAAUCCUACAUUUUAUUGCUGUAUAAAUCAUUUCUGGGUCAUACACAUAUAUCUUGGAUAUUUCAAAGCAUCAUUUUUUUAUUUUGGGUUUCUAUUGAAUAUUUUGGGAACUUGAGUGUACAUGGUUACUUAAGCAUGUUAAGCUUGUACACAAAUGUACACCGGUACAAAAGAGGUGAAAAUUUGAUUGGUUAUCUUCCAGUGGUGGUUUAUAUACGGCCGUCACAAUUUUGACAGGACGUAUUAUGCAUACAAAUGUCUGGUGUCCGUCUGUCCUUCUGUCUGUCCGUCUGGAUGUCUGGAUGUCCUCCCGUUUGUCUGUCUGUUCGGCUUAUCCAAGUCGCACUGUAACUUGAGAACGACUGUUUCUUAUGAUUGUCAAAUGAUUUGUACAUGAUGAACUUUUUUGGUGAAAAUAAGAUUAAAACAUUUUGAGUUACAGGACUUUGUAGUAAAAACUAUGAAAUUCAAAACAGUGUAGUGUGGCCAUUGAUUGACACAUUAAAAUAUUCAUUGACUAGCGACAAUUUAGUGAACCUUUGUAUGUAACGACCAAAUGCCUCCACUAUGUACUUUUUUUAAAGACACCUUAAAACUAUGGUCACAAAGUUUCAACAACCUAAAAUAAGUAUAAUUCGAAAAACUUAAUCAGAAAUAACACGAUAUUUUUGAUUUUAUAUCAUUAUAUAAAUCAAAACACAAAGGUUUUCCUGAUUAAUUUUGUCGAAAUUAUUUAUAAUUAAACGUUAAAGAAACCUUUGUUGGCCCCAGCAGUUAAAUGUCUAUCGUAGUACGUCAAUGAACAAGUGGUUGUUACAGAAAAACGUUCAAGUAAAUACUUGUCCCAGUCAAUGGAUAUUUUGAUGGUCAAUCAAUGGCCACAGCUAACACUCGUUUUGAAUUUCAUACUAUCUAAAACAGGGUUGUGUUUUUUUCACAUGUCGCACCAUAUCUCAAAAACUAUUUAUGAUUAUUGCUUAAAACUUUACACACUUCUUAUUUAUAUUUAUCUAAAGGUCUGUAUACUUUUUUGUGACGAUUCAAAAUUUUAUUUUUAGAGUUAUUGAGUUUAUUGAUAACAGACAAGUAGGGGGAAAUUAAUGGUGGUUUUACACCUAUACACCAAAAUGUAUGCAGUAUAACCAACACAGCUGUUAUCAAAUGUUAGAACAAAAUAGAAUCAUAUUCAAAACAGUGUGGCUGUGGCCAUUGAUUGACGACCUAAAUUAUCCCAUUGACUGGGACAGAUUAUGUGAACGUUUGUCUGUAACGAUCACUGCUCACUAUGUACUUGUUAAAGACACUUAAACUGUGGGGUCACCAAAUGUUCUCAACACCUAAAUGAAGUUAUAUAUUAUUGAUAUAAAUCAUAACAUCGUGUUAUUCCUGAUUAAUUUUUCGAAUUAUUUUAUUAUUGAAGACGUAAAGAACUUUGGUUACCCCACAGUUUAAAUUCUAUAAUAAGUAAAUAGUGAGCAGUGGUCGUUACAGACAAACGUUCACCUAAUCUGUCCCAGUCAAUGGAAUAACCUAGGUCGUCAAUCAAUGCCACAGCCACACUGUUUUGAAUAUGAUUCUAUUUAUAUAACCGACUUUUACAAAUGUAUUUGAACAAAAAUCUUUAGAAGGAAGCCAACCAAUGUUCCUCUCUUUCUUAACCAGUCGUGCGACUGUAUCAACAAUAACAACACCGCCACCAUACAACCCAGCGGUCUAGCCUAGUAUUUUUUCACCUCUGACUUUUGAGAAGACGCCAAUAACUUUCAUUGUACGACUUUACAUUGCUAUUUUAGUAUAACGGGGCUUUAUUGUGUGCUGUAAGUGUGUUGGUACUGUCAAGUGAUUUAAUGUAAGCCGUUUUCACUAAUUGAUUCGUUAAAGGGAUCUUCUUCUAAGUUAUUUAUUAGAGUAGUUGGUCGAGUGGUGUUGACUCUGACAUUAAAAUUUAACAAUGUCAUAUCAACACGCACAUUUGAUUUGUACGUCCUCUCUUGAAACGAAAUUACAAUCAUGUUUACAUCUUUGCGCUGUGCGCUACGCAUAUAAAGACAGAGCCGCUAAAUUCUUCGUCAGAUCGAAUCUUCAGUCAAACAUAAGGGGUGUUAAAGCCCGCAUGUUUUCCGUUGAUUUCUCAUGAAAUUCUACUAAUAGGCCUUGUUUCGGAGAAUCGAAUGAAUACAUCAUUAUAACUGGAUGAAAACAAAAACAUAUACUAUGCACAAAAUUGAUAGUGACGCCCACAUUAAAAUUAUUUUAGUAAAAAUAGAAAGAAACAAGGCGAAAAGGCUUGUAAAUUACAAUAAGAAAAAAGUGAAAACAACUAGAAAUUCGUAUCAUUAAAGCCGUUAAAAAAUUUAUACUGUAGAUAUAAGAAGAAGAUGUGGUACAUUGUACAUGUAUAAGUGCCAAUGAGACAACUCUAUACCUCCAUCGAAUGAUUGAUUGCUGGUUUCUUAACGUCCAGUGGCAAAUAUUUCAUGUAUGUUCAGGCCGAGAACAGGUUAACAAUAAAUACAAUAUGUAGGUCUUGUAAAAAGGGCAAUCCGGGAUGAUAGUCGGGGAAAUUUGGACUGCCACUGGAAAAUGAUGGUAUAUUGGAUAGAGACAGAAAUUUUGUUUUGAAACAGGCAACCUAUGGACCCCUCAAAGGUUUGUUGCAAGGGUUCUUAACGUGCAAGGUGCGUGGCGCUCUCUCCACACGAAGCAUCGGAUUUAACGUCCCCAUUCUGACCGGACGUGACUGCAAACUUGAUACAUUCCGCCUGGUCAAACGGACGCCCCACUUUGGCAAGCGUUUUACUGCCGGUCGGAAGAUGACCAAGUGACUAUAUUUCUAGUCCCGAGUCACUCUUUGGAUGGGGUGCUCACCAUUCAAGUCACAAUUUGUAAAACUCAAGUACAAAGUCAAAGUACGGCCUUCAACACGGAGCCUUGACUUAAACCGAACAGCAAGCCCCAUGAUUAUGAAUUUUUUCACCGCAAAUUAGCUUUAUCUCUUGGUAUUAAUAUUUUAGGUUAUGGGUUCAACCUAAACAGAUCAGAUGCAAAAGUAACUUUCCAAAAACUUGUUCCAGAGGUUGAUUUUGACAAUGUUAAGACGGGACAAGAAAACAUAACAAAAGAACAAGCUAUUAAACUAUUCAAUGUAAGUAUAAAAAGUUACCAGUCUCAAAUAGAUUUGUGUGGCUGAGCUGGGCUAAGGUGUGUCCCUGGCUUUAAUGAUACAGCCCGUAACAGAGAAGUGAUCGAAUUGAUGUUUCUUUACCGUCAAAAUUAGCUACGUUAUCGACAAACUUAAUUGAGUAGACCGAACUAUGGUACUUUAACGUUAAAAAGAUUGACAAUGCUGACAAACUUUCAUGUGUCGAUAAUCAAGUUUAAUACCGAUAAGGGGACGACCAUUUGAUAUUCUGGGGGGGAGGGGGGCAGGAGGAUUUGUUUUUGAUCGGUUAUUUAUUUUUGUAAACUAAGAGGACAUAUUAUUCAUUUUCUGCACUAUUGAAGCAUGAUUUUUCAUUUUCAUUAAGGCAAGGGACUGAUUAUUCAUUUUCACAACUAUAUUUAUGAUAUUCGAAAACAUCCACUUUUUAAAUGAUUUGUUUAUUAUAAAUAAUACAUGUAUAGUCAAGUCAUUAUGUACCAUUUAAUCAAAGUUAAUCAUCAUCCUCUGCAGAAAUGAAUCUUUUAUAUUCCUAACUGUAUAAACAUGUAUUGCAUACAUACUUAGUAUUAAAGUUUUGUAAUAAGUAUAGCAUCUUUUAAAAGUAUUGGCCAAGAUAUCUUGCCGAGCGUAGCGAGGCAAAUUAUUUUUUGAAGGGUUUUGGAGCCAGUGAAGGCCCAAGAAGCUAUAGAACAAAUGAUGCAAAAUCAGGCUUUCUGGGUGUUCCUUCAAGACCCUUUCAUAAUUUAAAAAUGCAAGUUUUGUUUUAAUAAUUUUUUGACUAUAUUUUGGUCUCAAAGCAAAAUGAAUAAAUUCAGUGGAAGACUUUCUAGGUACAACAUCAAAAGACCAAUGUGCAUGAUUGGAAUUCACAUAGUUAAGUCUGGGGCUGCUGUUUUUUUUUUAAACUCAUGAUCAAGUUCAUAACAAAAUUACAAGAUUACAAAAAGAAUGCAACAAAAUCAUGACAGAAGGGCAAUCAAUGAACAAAAGACAAGUCAAUAAGAAACAUUGAUCCUGAAAAAUUAGGGCUAUGUCUGAGGAAAAACAGAACUUGCUUCUUGCAAGGCACUCGCCGUGAAAACAAUUUGAUAUGGAGACAAGCGUUUGGUUUUGAAAUUUUCUACAUGAGGCAUUUGUCUCAAUUUAGUUACGGCCCUGUUAAAAUAAAAGUGAGGCAAGGUUUCCUGAGACAAUAUACCUCAAGUUAAAUGAAACUAAUUUUCAGACAUUUCAAGUUAUUUAAAAAAUAUUUAUACCUUUAUUGUUAAAAAAAUUGGGAAUUGUUUCCCGAUUUUUGUUGGAAAAAAAGAUGAAUCAGGAAGAAUCUGGUACCAAUUAGACCUGCUGAGUUAUUUAUUUUCAAUAAAUUGUAAGUCAGGUAAUUUAUUUUCAAACUACCACAGAACAAACCAUUUAUUUUUGUGAUUAUCAAGGCUGAGUUAUUUAUUUUCAAAAUCCUCUUUAAAAAAUUAAAAGAUUUAUUGAAAGACGUCUUAAUAGUAUUAUUUCCUUACAAUUUUACCCAAAACUAAAAGAAAUAUACUGGUAAACAUAAAAAAGGUGUUUGAGUAGGAUGAAGUCCUUUAUUUUUUCGGACUUCAAUGGUAACCGGUAUGUGUGAUGGAUUGAAUUUCAAUCAAUAACUUUGAAAUGUUUUCUCAUUAUGUAUAACAAAAGCGGAGGACUGGUAUUGUACUUUUGUAGAAUAUGUCUCUCGUCCUUUCACAUGCCAAACUUUUUUCUAGUAAUAGUUUGAUAAAGAUUUUAUAGAGGUCGCACCAACUGUUUCUACAGCUAAGAUCAGUUACAUGUAACAUGAUCUCGUCGAUUCGCACGACGAAGCUAUUGUUUAUGACAGAUAUCAUCCAUUCUAGUUAUGUAUUUUUGUUUUAUUUUUUUUCCGUCAGUUCGGAUAGUAUUUGAUCAUUUUUCAAUCCUUGUAUUUCAUAAAUAUGUGUUAUGAACAAAGACAUAUGUUCGAUUGAAUAAUGAUUUCCUCGUAACCAAAUGAUAGAAAAGUUCCGCGAGAUCUUAUUAUAUCCUUUACCGGUUAAAAUGACAGUAGCAAUGGAAACAGAGGUUGAUUAUAAAAAAUGUUUUACUGUUGUUAAAAAAGUUCGACUUAACAAUGUAAAUACUUACACGUUGGACAUAAUAAAUAUUUUGGUCGAUAGAAGAAAAGUCAAAUUAUGCACUUCUGAAAUAAGUUUGCUAGAUUAACGUAACUUAUUGCUGACGGUAAAGAAACAGCGAAUUCAUCACUACUCUGUUACGGCUGUAGACAUCUUGAUUACACGAAAAUGUUUUACGGAAGUAGCAGGCAGAUAAUUCUCAAAACAAAAACAUAUUUUAUUAAAGAAUAUGUUUUUUAUUAUAAUUAUUUCAAACAAACAAUUUGCUUGAGUCCUAUUAAAUGGAAAUAAGAAAUUACUAAGUCCAUGCCCGAAUAAAAUAUAGUAUUGCCUAUUUGAAAGCCUGUAGAAUAAAUGAAAGCAAAAGAACAUGUGUGAUAAUCAAUUUAGAUCGUGUUUGAAUCCGUAGUCGCAUUUGAAUAUGAUUCUUUUCUCUAUAACUAGGUCAAGCAAGAAAUGUUUGGAAGUAUUUCAGUGUUCAUCUAGUCAGAAUAAUAUCACUCUUAAAUGUUUGUUUUGAACGGAUUAUAUUUUAUUGACAAACUAAUAUUACCUCCGGAGGACAAGGUUCAUUAUUAAUUGGCUUACUUUGAAUGAAAUUUUUGUUCGAUAAUUAGCUUUUCAUUAUAGGACAAAAUUAAAAUGGCUUAUCUGUCGAAGUCUAUUUUAGGGAAUAAGGUGAACAAAAUAUUCCUAAAUACGCAAGUCAGUUAAAAAUCAAAUAACUAAAAUACCGAAAUCCAAGGAUAAUUUAAAACGGAAAGUCAAUAAACAAAAUAUUAAAAUGUCAAAAUCAAAAGCUCAAACAAAUCAAACGAAUGGAUAACAAAUGUUAUGUUCCUGUCUUGGUACCGACAUUUUCGUAUCAAUUUAAUUUUUUUCAAUAUUAUAUUAUGAAUAUGAUUCUAAAGAUGAUUCUUGUCUCUUUUAUAUUAAUGCAGCAUGACAUUACUGAACACGUGAACAGAGCCAAAUCGAGGCUUGGAGACAGCGUAUAUAAUUCCUUACCACCAAAUGUCAGGUCUGCUGUCAUAAGUGCAGUAUNNNNNNNNNNNNNNNNNNNNNNNNNNNNNNNNNNNNNNNNNNNNNNNNNNNNNNNNNNNNNNNNNNNNNNNNNNNNNNNNNNNNNNNNNNNNNNNNNNNNNNNNNNNNNNNNNNNNNNNNNNNNNNNNNNNNNNNNNNNNNNNNNNNNNNNNNNNNNNNNNNNNNNNNNNNNNNNNNNNNNNNNNNNNNNNNNNNNNNNNNNNNNNNNNNNNNNNNNNNNNNNNNNNNNNNNNNNNNNNNNNNNNNNNNNNNNNNNNNNNNNNNNNNNNNNNNNNNNNNNNNNNNNNNNNNNNNNNNNNNNNNNNNNNNNNNNNNNNNNNNNNNNNNNNNNNNNNNNNNNNNNNNNNNNNNNNNNNNNNNNNNNNNNNNNNNNNNNNNNNNNNNNNNNNNNNNNNNNNNNNNNNNNNNNNNNNNNNNNNNNNNNNNNNNNNNNNNNNNNNNNNNNNNNNNNNNNNNNNNNNNNNNNNNNNNNNNNNNNNNNNNNNNNNNNNNNNNNNNNNNNNNNNNNNNNNNNNNNNNNNNNNNNNNNNNNNNNNNNNNNNNNNNNNNNNNNNNNNNNNNNNNNNNNNNNNNNNNNNNNNNNNNNNNNNNNNNNNNNNNNNNNNNNNNNNNNNNNNNNNNNNNNNNNNNNNNNNNNNNNNNNNNNNNNNNNNNNNNNNNNNNNNNNNNNNNNNNNNNNNNNNNNNNNNNNNNNNNNNNNNNNNNNNNNNNNNNNNNNNNNNNNNNNNNNNNNNNNNNNNNNNNNNNNNNNNNNNNNNNNNNNNNNNNNNNNNNNNNNNNNNNNNNNNNNNNNNNNNNNNNNNNNNNNNNNNNNNNNNNNNNNNNNNNNNNNNNNNNNNNNNNNNNNNNNNNNNNNNNNNNNNNNNNNNNNNNNNNNNNNNNNNNNNNNNNNNNNNNNNNNNNNNNNNNNNNNNNNNNNNNNNNNNNNNNNNNNNNNNNNNNNNNNNNNNNNNNNNNNNNNNNNNNNNNNNNNNNNNNNNNNNNNNNNNNNNNNNNNNNNUUUGCAUGCGGUAUCCCUAUUUUUUUUCUCGCUCAUCUUUUAUUGUUGUUUUUUUCAUUCUAUAAAGUGUGUAUUUUGCUAAUGUCGAAGGCCAUACGGGGACCUAUAGCUUGAAUAACGCCUGUUGGUUUUGAAAAUGGGCCGCAAAUUAAUUUAGUCAAAUCACUUAGUUGAAAUUAAAGACCUGGCGAAUUUUAGCCUUUUGCAAUGGAUGUGAUGUAUGUUUAAAAAAAAUCAUGGUUUUGUUUGGACAUUUUUUAUAAAUCAAGUCUUGUUUUUAAAUUAUUUGCAAGUAAGUUUUAAGUCAUGAACAAAUAAUCACUCACAGAAAGACGUCAAAUCCAUCAACAAAGAAAAAAAAUUAAUAGACGACCGACAACGCACAGAAUAUCAUGUAUGUGUUCCGGACCAUAUGAGUAUUUGGACCAUACGCAUAUAUCAUGACCAUAAGGGUAUACUAAUAUGGUCCAACCAUACACGUAUGGUCCAAAUACUCAUAAGGUCCGGAAACAUAUUUUAUUUGCGAUCACAAAAUGCACGAAGACGUCCAUUUCUAUGUAAAUUGGGUCGAUUUUUUUAUAUAGAUAAGAUGAAUGCGUUUCUGUGUCCAAGUGUUUUUCACAAGUAUAGUAGCAGUAUAGCAGAACGGUUUAAGUUUCCUAUAUACACCAAAUGAUACAUUUUGCCAAUACAAUAACGUAAAUGCAUGCAAAUUUCACAAGGUUUAAUCCAAAUAGCUUUCUUACUAUCCAAUAACUUUCAAGUACGAAAAAGACAGGGCAGAAGUAUAUUUUGUCUUUAUGUUUCGUAUUUGCACAACUUUUGAAAGUGGAUUAUGCAUUCGUUCUAAAAUAAAAUUAGACCAUGAUUACAUAACUCGACAAUCGCAAUUGUUAAAUCCGAAAAAGAUAAUCAAUCAAUACAUGCAUUCAGUAAGUCAUUCUUUUUUCUGAAAGAACAUGGCUUUGCGAUAUCUUAUUAUGAAAAUUGAUUGUCGAAACAUAACAAAAACACAAGUAAAGGACGUUUAAUUAAUCAAUAUAAAUCAAAACACAAAUUCCUGAUUAGUAUUUCGAAUUAUUUUAUAUAGGCGUUGAGAACCUUUGGUGACCCCACGGUUUAAAUGUUUAUAUUAAGGACGUCGUGAGCAAUGGGCGUUAUAGACGAACGUUCACCUAAUCUGUCCCAGUCAAUGGGAUAUUAAAGUGCGCCAAUCAAUGUCCAUAGCCACACUGUUAUGAAUUCGAUACUAAAUUUGUGUGGCUGAGCUGGGCUAAGGUGUAUCCCUGGCUUUAAUGAUAGACAUCUUGAUUACACGAAAAUGUUUUACGGGAAGUAGCAGGCAGAUAAUUCUUAAAACAAAAACAUAUUUAUAAAAGAAUAUUUUUUUUAUUUAUAAUUAUUUCAAACAAACAAUUUGAUUGAGUCCUAUUAAAUGGAAAUAAGAAAUUACUAAGUCCAUGCCCGAAUAAAAUAUAGUAUUGCCUAUUUUGGAAGCCUGUAGAAUAAAUGAAAGCAAAAGAAUGUGUGUGAUAAUCAAUUUAGAUCGUGUUUGAAUCCGUAGUCGCAUUUGAAUAUGAUUUUUUUCUCUAUAAUUACGUCAAGCAAGAAAUGUUUGGAAGUAUUUCACACAGUGUAGAUACUAUUCUGUACGCUUUCCGGAAGUCGCGAUUUUCGAAGCGAGAACUUUUUGGAUCACAUUUUAAAUUUGAUGGAUAUACUGAAUUAAACGGUCAGUUGAUCAUCUGUACAUUGCUUAAUGAUUAAUUCAGCCGACAUCGAUAUUCUCAGAUGGUUUAGAAUUAAAUUCAGCGCAUUCAUUAUUCUUAGCUUUGCCUUAAUCAAAUGAUUUUCAAGUGCAUCACUAAGGAAAAUCAGUCGGUGGACCUAAAAACAAUCUUUUUACCCUCUUAGUGUACAAAUUAACGUAAAUACCAGCCUUAAUUAACUAUAUGAAGUAUAUUUCAAGUGGUGGUAAAAGUUUCAACCAUAUCUUUGAAGCCAGAAAUAAGAAAAUAACACUUGUUUGAAUUUCUCACUGUACGAUCAGUCUCGCUUGUAUAUUUUGAAACUCUAUGAUCAGUCUUUAUUUCACUGUAUUCUAGUGGUGAUUUCAAAGUUAUUUACGACACAUUAUAAGGUGGCAUUUUUUCUAAAUAACACAAAUAUAUUUCAAUAAAUUCACAUCCUGAAAACUUAUGAAACAUGUUUCAGCUUGAUAGGGUGUACUCGACUUACUACAUUUAAUAUAAGGAUGUUUAAAUGUUGCUAAAAUAAAAGGUAGGUUCGUUGUAUAUAUGAGUUUCAGAAAUGUCCUCCGUUAUACUUUAAAUUGUACAAACACACAGAUUUAAUAAAUAUUGUUAUACAAAAACGUUUUAAUGGUUGCCUCAACCUCCAAACCGAUUUUUCUGUGGAAAAUCCUGUUAAAAAGGGUGAAAGUACAUAAGCAAAUUAUUAUCAUUUCCACAAGUUGCCACGCAAUUAACAAAUGCAAUCAGUACAAUGAUAUAUAUGGAUUAACCCAAAAAUCGCUUUAAAUAAACUGAUGAAAUCCUUUUCAUUUUAAAUUCAUUCGAUAUUGAUACAGAUUAUGAUUUCUGUAAACUUGCCCAAAUUAUAUCACACGAAUUAUCCCCCUACGCAAAGCUUUCUUUAUCCAUUUUUUUGUAAUUUUAAAAGAGACAAGCUUGAUUUAUGUUAUCAUCAAUUGGUCAACGGCGGACGGUGUAAAUAGUCUUUAAAAAUGUAAUAGCUAAACAGGUUACUGCAACGAUACACUAUUACAAAAGUUGAAUCGUGUAUUACUUUAUAGGCAUUUGAUUUUAAAUAAGACUGACGGAACAAAAAUACAAUUAUUUUGCCGUCUACAAAAAUCAUCAGAAAUAUAUUUGUUUUGUCUGAUGAAAGAAAUUACACGUUAUAUAUAGUUGUUACCUGGACGGUUCAUUAAAUCACAUAGACACGUAUAUACCUUUAAAUUGCCGUUGUUUUUUUUUUCUUCAAAAUCACGACUGGUCAUACAGUCAAAAAAUCUGAAAUCGCUUCUAGAAUACAGUCAGUUCUAGACUGAUCGUACAGUAACUUAUUUUGGGAUCCUCAAGGAAAAAUAUUUUUUAUGGGAAAUACGAAUAUUCUACUUAAAUACGAAAAGAAUAUUGAAACAGUAUAUAUUUAACUGAAAAAUAAUGCAAAUAUUUGCCAAAAAGAUUAUUUGCUUUGUACUACGAGAGCAAAAUUGUCCCUCGAUUUCACUUUUUUUUCUGUCAAAUUGGUGUGAUGCACACGUAUAUUUUAUAUUCUAAUGCAUGUUUUUGUUACCGUUACUCAUAUUUAUGAUGCUAUACAUACCUUGAAGAUGUUCAAAGCACUUUAUAGAUAUAGGAUUAAACAAAUGAUGAGAAAAGUCACCGUAGGCAAAACCAUCCUGUUAGCCAGUUGGAAAUCAUCACUUCGAAAAUCGCGACUUUCGGAUAGCGUACAGAAUAGUAUCUACACUGUGUUUCAGUGUUCAUCUAGUCAGAAUAAUAUCACUCUUAAAUGUUUAUUUUGAACGGAUUAUAUUUUAUUGACAAACUAAUAUUACCUCCGGAGGACAAGGUUCAUUAUUAAUUGGCUUACUUUGAAUGACAUUUUUGUACGAUAAAUAUCUUUUCAUUAUAGGACAAAAUUAAAAUGGCUUAUCCGUCGAAGUCUAUUUUAGGGAAUAAGGUGAACAAAAUAUUCCUAAAUAAGCAAGUCAGUUAAAAGUCAAAUAACCAAAAUACCGAAAUCCAAGGAUAAUUUAAAACGGAAAGACAAUAAACAAAUGUCAAAAGCAAAAGUGCAAACAAAUCAAACGAAUGGAUAACAAAUGUUAUGUUCCUGUCUUGGUACCGACAUUUUCUUAUCAAUUUUUUAAAUAUUAUAUAUAUUAUGAAUAUGAGUAUAAAGAUGAUUCUUGUCUCUUUUAUAUUAAUGCAGCAUGACAUUACUGAACACGUGAACAGAGCCAAAUCGAGGCUUGGGGACAGCGUAUAUGAUUCCUUACCACCAAAUGUCAAGUCUGCUGUCAUAAGUGCAGUAUACAGAGGCGAUCUUGGUCCAAAAACGGCGAAUCUGAUGAAAGCAGGAAAAUGGCGAGAUGUCGGCGUAGAAUAUUUGAACCAUCAGCAAUAUAAGAAAGCACAAGAACUUGGCAUAAUUGGAGUUAGAACAAGAAUGAACUGGAAUGUUGAACAAUUCAAUACCAUGAUUAAAGAAUAA
RNAcentral lists this long non-coding RNA (28202 nucleotides) under Mytilus galloprovincialis (Mediterranean mussel). Lineage: Eukaryota; Metazoa; Mollusca; Bivalvia; Mytilida; Mytilidae. The record is from RNAcentral.